GACGAACGCUGGCGGCGUGCCUAAUACAUGCAAGUAGAACGCACAGUUUAUACCGUAGCUUGCUACACCAUAGACUGUGAGUUGCGAACGGGUGAGUAACGCGUAGGUAACCUGCCUGGUAGCGGGGGAUAACUAUUGGAAACGAUAGCUAAUACCGCAUAAUAUUAAUUAUUGCAUGAUAAUUAAUUGAAAGGUGCAAUUGCACCACUACCAGAUGGACCUGCGUUGUAUUAGCUAGUAGGUGAGGUAACGGCUCACCUAGGCGACGAUACAUAGCCGACCUGAGAGGGUGGUCGGCCACACUGGGACUGAGACACGGCCCAGACUCCUACGGGAGGCAGCAGUAGGGAAUCUUCGGCAAUGGACGAAAGUAUGACCGAGCAACGCCGCGUGAGUGAAGAAGGUUUUCGGAUCGGAAAGCUCUGUUGUAAGAGAAGAACGGGUGUGAGAGUGGAAAGUUCACACUGUGACGGUAUCUUACCAGAAAGGGACGGCUAACUACGUG
RNAcentral lists this ribosomal RNA (505 nucleotides) under uncultured bacterium. RNAcentral's name for it is "partial 16S ribosomal RNA". It matches the Rfam family "Bacterial small subunit ribosomal RNA", at positions 28 to 507 of the family's 1533-position model. The record is from RNAcentral.